RNAcentral lists this ribosomal RNA (253 nucleotides) under uncultured bacterium. RNAcentral's name for it is "partial 16S ribosomal RNA". It matches the Rfam family "Bacterial small subunit ribosomal RNA", at positions 524 to 776 of the family's 1533-position model. The record is from RNAcentral.
UACGUAGGGGGCUAGCGUUGUCCGGAAUCACUGGGCGUAAAGGGUGCGUAGGCGGGUCUUUAAGUCAGGGGUGAAAUCCUGGAGCUCAACUCCAGAACUGCCUUUGAUACUGAAGAUCUUGAGUUCGGGAGAGGUGAGUGGAACUGCGAGUGUAGAGGUGAAAUUCGUAGAUAUUCGCAAGAACACCAGUGGCGAAGGCGGCUCACUGGCCCGAUACUGACGCUGAGGCACGAAAGCGUGGGGAGCAAACAGG